This 542-nucleotide long non-coding RNA is filed under the name Chinchilla lanigera (long-tailed chinchilla). RNAcentral describes it as "lncRNA (ENSCLAG00000023496.1)". Lineage: Eukaryota; Metazoa; Chordata; Mammalia; Rodentia; Chinchillidae. The record is from RNAcentral.
CGUGGUGACUUCACAGAUCCUGUGUGAUGGCAGUGCUGACACCGACAGGAAAUGAAAACAUUUCUCCCCCUGAGACAGGAGCUCGCGCUGCACUCUACCUUGGCCACCUGUUCUCGCAGCCUGCUAGAGUCACUCUGGACCCUGUUCCCAGCCAGCGCAGACUUGCCUGUCCCUCCCAGCCUUCCUGCUUGACUGUGGUCCCCAGGAAGGGUUUAGUGGAGUAACAGUGUGGCCAGGAAAUAUGAUCUCAUAACAAUCCUCCUGCCUCAGCCUCCUGAGUGCUGGAAUUACAGGUAUGUGCCACCACACCCGGCCUUUUUUUUUUUUUUUUUUUUGGUAGAGAAUUUAAAAAAAAAUCUUGUAAAGCACUCUGAAUAAAAAAUACUUUUGGUAUUUAGAAAUUGUUUUCUCAGUUGUUUACAGUUGUGUCAACUACACCUAUAUCAACUGCAGGUGUCUUCAAUGAACCUCUCUGUCUAUGUCUCUGUCUCUCUCUGUCUCUCUGUUUCUGUCUCUGUCUCUCUUUCUCUCUAUUUUUUUGU